Molecule: ribosomal RNA, 408 nt
Filed under: uncultured bacterium
Lineage: Bacteria
Description: bacterial SSU rRNA
Rfam family: Bacterial small subunit ribosomal RNA
Source: RNAcentral
AGAGUUUGAUCCUGGCUCAGAUUGAACGCUGGCGGCAUGCUUUACACAUGCAAGUCGAACGGUAACAGGGAGCUUGCUCCGCUGACGAGUGGCGAACGGGUGAGUAAUGCAUCGGAACGUGCCUAUUUGUGGGGGAUAACGUAGCGAAAGUUACGCUAAUACCGCAUACGCCCUGAGGGGGAAAGCGGGGGAUUCGUAAGAACCUCGCGCAAUUAGAGCGGCCGAUGUCGGAUUAGCUAGUUGGUGGGGUAAAGGCUCACCAAGGCGACGAUCCGUAGCGGGUCUGAGAGGAUGAUCCGCCACACUGGGACUGAGACACGGCCCAGACUCCUACGGGAGGCAGCAGUGGGGAAUUUUGGACAAUGGGCGAAAGCAUGAUCCAGCCAUGCCGCGUGAGUGAAGAAGGCC